GGCUAACUCCGUGCCAGCAGCCGCGGUAAUACGGAGGAUGCGAGCGUUAUCCGGAUUUAUUGGGUUUAAAGGGUGCGUAGGCGGUUUAUUAAGUUAGUGGUUAAAUAUUUGAGCUAAACUCAAUUGUGCCAUUAAUACUGGUAAACUGGAGUACAGACGAGGUAGGCGGAAUAAGUUAAGUAGCGGUGAAAUGCAUAGAUAUAACUUAGAACUCCGAUAGCGAAGGCAGCUUACCAGACUGUAACUGACGCUGAUGCACGAGAGCGUGGGUAGCGAACAGGAUUAGAUACCCUGGUAGUCCACGCCGUAAACGAUGCUCACUGGUUCUGUGCGAUAUAUUGUACGGGAUUAAGCGAAAGUAUUAAGUGAGCCACCUGGGGAGUACGUCGGCAACGAUGAAACUCAAAGGAAUUGACGGGGGCCCGCACAAGCGGAGGAACAUGUGGUUUAAUUCGAUGAUACGCGAGGAACCUUACCUGGGUUUAAAUGGGAAAUGUCGUAUUUGGAAACAGAUAUUCUCUUCGGAGCGUUUUUCAAGGUGCUGCAUGGUUGUCGUCAGCUCGUGCCGUGAGGUGUCGGGUUAAGUCCCAUAACGAGCGCAACCCUUACCGUUAGUUGCUAGCAUGUAAUGAUGAGCACUCUAACGGGACUGCCACCGUAAGGUGAGAGGAAGGCGGGGAUGACGUCAAAUCAGCACGGCCCUUACACCCAGGGCUACACACGUGUUACAAUGGCCGGUACAGAGGGCCGCUACCAGGUGACUGGAUGCCAAUCUCAAAAGCCGGUCGUAGUUCGGAUUGGAGUCUGUAACCCGACUCCAUGAAGUUGGAUUCGCUAGUAAUCGCGCAUCAGCCAUGGCGCGGUGAAUACGUUCCCGGGCCUUGUACACACCGCCCGUCAAGCCAUGGAAGCCGGGGGUGCCUGAAGUCCGUAACCGCGAGGAUCGGCCUAGGGCAAAACUGGUAACUGGGGCUAAGUCGUAACAAGGUAGCCGUACCGGAAGGUGCGGCUG
Molecule: ribosomal RNA, 1012 nt
Filed under: gut metagenome
Description: bacterial SSU rRNA
Rfam family: Bacterial small subunit ribosomal RNA
Source: RNAcentral